GACAGAGGGGGCAAGCGUUGCUCGGAAUUACUGGGCGUAAAGGGCGCGUAGGCGGGAUGGCAAGUCGGUCGUGAAAUCCCUCGGCUCAACUGAGGAACGUCGAUCGAUACUGCCGUUCUUGAGGGUUGCAGAGGAGACUGGAAUUCCCGGUGUAGCGGUGAAAUGUGUAGAGAUCGGGAGGAACACCGGUGGCGAAGGCGGGUCUCUGGUCCACAACUGACGCUGAGGUGCGAAAGCUAGGGGAGCAAACGGG
RNAcentral lists this ribosomal RNA (253 nucleotides) under uncultured prokaryote. RNAcentral describes it as "partial 16S ribosomal RNA". It matches the Rfam family "Bacterial small subunit ribosomal RNA", at positions 524 to 776 of the family's 1533-position model. The record is from RNAcentral.